GAUGAACGCUGGCGGCGUGCCUAAUACAUGCAAGUCGAGCGAACAGACGAGGAGCUUGCUCCUCUGACGUUAGCGGCGGACGGGUGAGUAACACGUGGAUAACCUACUUAUAAGACUGGGAUAACUUCGGGAGACCGGAGCUAAUACGGGAUAAUAUACUGAACCGCAUGGGUCAAUAGUGAAAGACGGUUUUGCUGUCACUUAUAGAUGGAUCCGCGCCGCAUUAGCUAGUUGGUAAGGUAACGGCUUACCAAGGCAACGAUGCGUAGCCGACCUGAGAGGGUGGUCGGCCGCCCUAGAGCUGGGACACGGUCCAGGGUCCUGAGAGAGGCCGCAGUCGGCAAUCUUCGGCAGUAGGCGGAAGCCUGGCAGAACGGCGCCACGUGUGAUGUAGAAGUCUUCGGAUCGUAAAGCUGUGUUAUGAGGGGUAAACCAAUUUGUACGUUGCUAUGCACGUAUUGACGGUAACUAGUCAAAAAGCCACGGCUAACUACGUG
Molecule: ribosomal RNA, 497 nt
Filed under: uncultured bacterium
Lineage: Bacteria
Description: partial 16S ribosomal RNA
Rfam family: Bacterial small subunit ribosomal RNA
Source: RNAcentral